Molecule: long non-coding RNA, 418 nt
Filed under: Capsicum annuum
Lineage: Eukaryota; Viridiplantae; Streptophyta; Magnoliopsida; Solanales; Solanaceae
Description: long non-coding RNA (CANN_LNC019093)
Source: RNAcentral
GAGGGUUCGAGUCCUCCAUGUGCAUAUAUGAGAUUAUUCUCUGGUUUGUGUGGCUACACGCACUGGGGCCCGAUCAGGGGGUGACAGCUGGGGCUCAUAUAGCCCAUGGGUACUAUUAUAUGACGGUUGAGCUACAGAAUUUAGGUUUAAGUUUUGAAAAACAUGUUAAUACUUGUUCUUUAUCCAGGCAUGUGAUAUAUAUUUAUGUAUGUGCAUUUGAUUAUGUACAUUGGCUUUUGAAUGAUUUAAACUGUUGAUCAUAUCAUUAUGUUAUCCUUAUCCCUGAGUUACAAUUAUGUUAUCCUUAUCCCUGAGUUACACGCUAGCAUUCACCCUGCUAAUUGUAUUUAGACAUUGUAUCUUAUGUGAUGCAGGAUUUGGUCGUACUUUCACUCCUCCUACUCAGUGACUUGGAUUU